Cylas formicarius (sweet potato weevil) is the source of this 405-nucleotide long non-coding RNA. RefSeq lists it as uncharacterized. The record is from RefSeq and is a predicted model, not a curated record. NCBI's taxonomy places the organism in Eukaryota, Metazoa, Arthropoda, Insecta, Coleoptera, Brentidae. The transcript is spliced from 3 exons.
AUUACCGCAAUAAACCAAUGACAUAACCUCACCUUGGUGAUGGAGACGGAUAUGUGCUUAGUAAUGUAAAAUCACAUGUCCAAAUUGUUUUCAGUUUCAGGCCACUCGAGUUUACUUUUUGGUCCCAAGUCUUUGGCCCUGAUGAGGUUUUUAUACGUUUCGGGGUCGAACUCAUCCACGCCGUGACCUUCAUAUUUCGAGUAAAACUUUGCGGUUAUUAUAUUUUCUAAAAUGCCCAAAUUCGGAAGCUACCCUCGAUUCGUGCAAGGUAGCACAAGCUGUUCCAAGAUGGCCGAGAAGACGACCAGGAGGAACCUCGAUCUAGACGUCCCGGCAUGUCAAUAACUGAUGCAAGCGUGAAGAAAUGGUUUUGAAAAAUCGUCGAACCACUAUUGGAGAAGCGGC